Molecule: ribosomal RNA, 501 nt
Filed under: uncultured bacterium
Lineage: Bacteria
Description: partial 16S ribosomal RNA
Rfam family: Bacterial small subunit ribosomal RNA
Source: RNAcentral
AUUGAACGCUGGCGGCAGGCUUAACACAUGCAAGUCGAGCGGGGAAGUAUAGCUUGCUAUACGACCUAGCGGCGGACGGGUGAGUAAUGCUUAGGAAUCUGCCUAUUAGUGGGGGACAACAUUCCGAAAGGAAUGCUAAUACCGCAUACGCCCUACGGGGGAAAGCAGGGGAUCUUCGGACCUUGCGCUAAUAGAUGAGCCUAAGUCAGAUUAGCUAGUUGGUGGGGUAAAGGCCUACCAAGGCGACGAUCUGUAGCGGGUCUGAGAGGAUGAUCCGCCACACUGGGACUGAGACACGGCCCAGACUCCUACGGGAGGCAGCAGUGGGGAAUAUUGGACAAUGGGCGAAAGCCUGAUCCAGCCAUGCCGCGUGUGUGAAGAAGGCCUUUUGGUUGUAAAGCACUUUAAGCGAGGAGGAGGCUACUUGGAUUAAUACUCUAGGAUAGUGGACGUUACUCGCAGAAUAAGCACCGGCUAACUCUGUGCCAGCCGCCGCCGUAA